Molecule: non-coding RNA, 21 nt
Organism: Caenorhabditis elegans
Lineage: Eukaryota; Metazoa; Nematoda; Chromadorea; Rhabditida; Rhabditidae
Source: Ensembl
UAGUAGAUCUUGACAGAAGAA